RNAcentral lists this ribosomal RNA (459 nucleotides) under uncultured bacterium. Its description in RNAcentral is "partial 16S ribosomal RNA". It matches the Rfam family "Bacterial small subunit ribosomal RNA", at positions 338 to 795 of the family's 1533-position model. The record is from RNAcentral.
CCUACGGGGCGCAGCAGUGAGGAAUAUUGGUCAAUGGCCGCAGGGCUGAACCAGCCAAGUCGCGUGAGGGAUGACGGUCCUAUGGAUUGUAAACCUCUUUUGUCAGGGAGCAAAGGGCGCCACGUGUGGCGUUUUGCGAGUACCUGAAGAAAAAGCAUCGGCUAACUCCGUGCCAGCAGCCGCGGUAAUACGGAGGAUGCGAGCGUUAUCCGGAUUUAUUGGGGUUAAAGGGUGCGCAGGCGGAAUGUCAAGUUGGCGGGAACAUUACGGGGCUCAACCCCGUCGUGCCUUUGAAACUGGCGUUCUUGAGUGAGCGAGAAGUAUGCGGAAUGCGUGGUGUAGCGGUGAAAUGCAUAGAUAUCACGCAGAACUCCGAUUGCGAAGGCAGCAUACCGGCGCCCAACUGACGCUGAAGCACGAAAGCGUGGGUAUCGAACAGGAUUAGAUACCCGGGUAGUC